CCAUUUUCUACAGGACUGGCCACCUAAUGACAAACUUUCUCUUCAUCUGUUAUCAGGCAAGUUUACGUUUCUGCUUCGUCUGGUGUCUUUCCGUCAUGUUUCAGGCGUUUGAGGUGGACGUUUUUACCUUUUUCAUGGACGGGGUCACGUUCCCUGUCUCUCGUGCAAGUUGGAUUGUUUUUCUAUUCCUUUUCGUUUCCUAUUCCUAUUUCAUGGUUUCAGCCUUGUAUUGGUAUAUUGAGCUCACCCCUUCGUUGCGACGGUCGCCUUCCGGAUAAUUGCUUGUCUCCUGCAUGAGCCCUCAUAAAGCCGUGUUGGUUUAAAUGUUGGUGAGAUGGUUUCCUUGUUUCCUAUCCCUUGCUGAGGUGGACCCCUCGUUCAGUGUGCAUUCUGUCCACAGGGCGGCGGCUUCUUAGGCCUUUUCGGCAGAUGCCUCGCUUUCGUAUAUCUUGCGACCGGCGGAUUGUUCUCGAGAAGAGAUUUUCCAGACUUUCUGUUUUCGCCCCUCUUCUAAUGCUGCUUUUUUUCUCCUUUCACAGCGUUAAAAUUGCAAAAUAUAAAGCCUCAUGUCAUGUAAAUUGAAGAUCAUACUAGCUUUAGUGUACUAAUAAUCUUAAUUUUAGUAAUGACAGGAGGCGAGUAUUUUCCCACCCUGCUUUGCUAUCCCACCCUUUCUGUUUGCUUCCUUUAUAUGUCUCACUGGUCUAAGGUAGGUUGGGCUCGUAAUGUUUUGUGUAUACAUUGACGGUUUUAUUUCCAUUGGUUUGGAAUUGUCAUCGAGUUUUAUGUGAUUGUUGUAGUUUACACGUUACUAUGAAAUUAUGUAUUCUGUGUGUUACCUGGAUUUCCACAUUUAU
Pelobates cultripes (western spadefoot toad) is the source of this 857-nucleotide non-coding RNA. NCBI's taxonomy places the organism in Eukaryota, Metazoa, Chordata, Amphibia, Anura, Pelobatidae. The record is from the annotation of a GenBank genome assembly.